Long non-coding RNA from Magallana angulata, 135 nucleotides. RefSeq lists it as uncharacterized. The transcript is spliced from 2 exons. NCBI's taxonomy places the organism in Eukaryota, Metazoa, Mollusca, Bivalvia, Ostreida, Ostreidae. The record is from RefSeq and is a predicted model, not a curated record.
UGAAGUGUAUCUUUACCUUACCUGUACAAGAUAUUUCAUAUAUUUUGUUAACUCAUAGUUCUGGAUACCUGGUUUUAUUUGAUAAUAUACAAUCCUCGAAAUAAAGAACCAGUGAAUACAUGUAGCUGAAAUCAG